This 4640-nucleotide long non-coding RNA is filed under the name Homo sapiens (human). RNAcentral's name for it is "HSALNT0064269". Lineage: Eukaryota; Metazoa; Chordata; Mammalia; Primates; Hominidae. The record is from RNAcentral.
CCAAUUCUCUAUUCUUGUGUAAAAAGAGAAAACAUACAUGAAUGGGUGCAACAUCUGUUGAACUGUUUUUAAUGUGCCAAAGUAGAAUGGGAUUUUCAGUUUAAGAAACAGGGUUUAAAAAAGAAGUAAGGAGAAAAAUGUGGUGCAAAAUUAGGAAAGAAAAUAUUUAUGUAAAGAAAUCUUCAUGAGAAAUAAUAUGAAUAUCCCACUGAAGAUAGGUUGACAGGCAGCUUGAUGGGAUAGCUGAUUGAGACAGAGAAGAGAUUCUGGAUUUAAAAAAUACAGUGACAAUUAAAUGCAACAGAAAUUUGGUUCAGUUGGGCUUUAGGGAAAACAUAAUUUUUUUGUCACACACAUUUCUGCUGCUUGCUGAUUUAUGGGGAGAGAGUGGCAUUGAAGAAAAGGAGGGUAUCAGCCAAACUGUCUGAGGUGAGGAAGAUCUCAUAUAAUGUUGCAGUCACAGAAAGGUGUCAGGCAGCUGACCAAGGGUGGUGACUUCCCAUUCCCAAAAGUCAAGGAGGAUUUAACAUCAAGCACGAAGGCUCACUACAGAGAAAUAAGAGCAAAGAACAUCAAUGAUUUGAUGAAACCAUGUGGCAUUUUAUAGAAAUGGAUAAAGAGGAAAUUGGCUAACAAAGAUGAAUGUGCAGCAAAGAAACCAAAGUGAAAAUAUUGAAAUGUGAGGAUAAUGUAAAUGGAGUUAUAGAAGAAAUAGCUGAUGUGAAAAUGUUGAUAAGGCCAUCGUUGGAAACACUAGAUAUACAGCUGGAGCAAAGCAAGAGGUGAACUUACCAACAUAAUAGGGAAAGUGGCCAUGAUUAAAGGAUAAAUAUGUUCCAGAAGAAUUGACACUGGCAAUAACAACUUCACAUUAAAGCCACACUUAGAGAUGCUUCAUGACAUGGAAAGCACAAAGCAUAAAAUUUUGGAAGCUGAUUCAAAGUUGGAAAGGAAUAUGACAAUUUGCCAAGGCAUAACAAAGAUGCUUGAUUCAUACGAAGAAUUAUAAAUGAGAGGAAGGCAAGCACUGUUUUGAACUAUUCUCGUAUGGAGAUGUUGCUGGACAAUGGCUGCCCCUUCAAGGACUAUUAUUUCCCAGCCUCUCCCCCUUGCAUCCAGGUAGACCCUGUUACCGAUGCAUGUCUACGUUACCUCUAGGAGACAGGUGGCUGACCCAUGCAUUGUACUGUAUGUCCACGGGCUUUCCAGGUUAAUUCUGCAUACGGGACAUAAUAAAAAGCACUAUUGCCAAUUCAUGCACUGAAACCUCCCAUGAACAUAACUUUGAAACAGAUUGAGGAUCUUCGAGAAAUGGUGUCUCUUGCCUGUCAUCCCAGCAGUUUAGGAGUCUGAGGUGGGAGGAUCACUUGAGACCAGAAGUUUGAGACCAGCCUGGGAAACAUAGUGAGACCCUGUCUCUACAAAAAGUAAAAUAAAUUAGCCAGUCAUCCUAGCUGCUAGAGAGGCUAAGGCAAGGGUACUGCUUGAGCCCAGGAGUUCAAGGCUGCUUUGAGCUAUGAUCAUGCCACAGCUUGGGUUACAGAGCAAGAUUCUAUCUCUUAAAAAAGAAAAAGAAAUAGAUGAAAAUCAAGGACUAUGAUGUUUUUAUUUGGCUAAAUAAAAUAUACUCAGCAUGAUACUGAGUUAUAUAUACUGUAUUCUUUCAUGUAUGACUGUAUAUUAAACUAAAUAAAUUAUUCCAGUUAUUCAAAUACUCUUAAUACAAUUUAAUAAAGAUCCAUGUCUGCAUCAGGCAUCCAUUGGCACAGAUUUUAAAACCUAUAAGAAAAAGUUUUCAAAAUUGUUUUCUUUUGUUAUUAAUUAUAUUGCAGAAAUGAGCACCAAUUUUCAAUUGUUUAUGUUAAAGUAUACAUUUUCAUUUAUCAUAAUCACAUUUCAUGGAUUCUUUAAUGUUUCUUAAAUGUACAGCAGUUUAAAAAAUAUAAGUAGACAAGGGCUACAAUGCUAGAUUUCUUCCUUUGUCUCUCAUCUCUUUGCAUAUUAUAAUGUAUAUUUCUAAUUCUUUAAGCUGCUUUAUUAUUUUUAGCUGAUAUGAAAUUUGCCAAUGCAUAGGAUAUGGUAUAAAUAUUGCUAUAAUAUUUAGAAAUUAGAAAUCCAGGAGGUGAUAGGUAUUCAGCAAAUGAUAGAGAAAGUGCCUAUUGCUAAAAAGACUCUUUUACGUCUAUUUUGAAAUAUUGGUCCUCUUUUGGUAUUAGAUCCUAGUCAUUUAGUAUGCAGAUUAACAUUUCAGAUCAUUAAAAUUAAAAAAAAACUCUCAAGUAUUAUUCUAAUUUCUUUAAAAUUCUCCUCAUUGUAUACCACUUUAUUUAUGGUAUGGCAGCACAUCAUAUGCUAAUUGCAUUAUAAACUUUUCUAAAAAUAAUCUGAAAUUCACUUUGAACCCUUUGACUUACUGUUAAUGAAAUUUUCCAAACAUUCCUAAACAUUCGUCUAUAAAAACAAAACUAUACUUCACCCAACGAGAAGAAUCUGCAGUUUGAAGGAUUUCUAAAAAAUAUUGGUUCACAGACUUUUUAAAUGUCACAUAUACAUUCUCAUCCAGUGUCAUUAAUUAUAAUUUUUAACAUGAUGUAUAAGUCAAAUCACUAAAUAACCUUAUAUAUUGAAUAAACAACAUAUCUGAAAAUUUUAUUUCCAUAUUUAUGGAUGUAAAGUCAAGAUAAUUUGUUUACCAAAAAACAACAAAAUAUUUAAAGUUAUUAUUUCAUCCUCUCUUUGCUUUAUACUUCUAGAUGUCUGAAGACAAAGACUAUGACAGGAACAUUUGUAAUUCAUGUGAUAAGUCUUCCAAUGACAAGUACAUUGAGUGAUUGAAAAUUAUAGAAAAUGAGUUACACAUUUAGAAAAGCUCUAAGUGAAUUGACAAUGGAAUAUUACUAGCAGAGGAUAUAAAAAUAUUUAACAAUGUACCUGUUAGCUGAAAGUAAAGUGACUUCUUAUAAUUACUCAAAGGUUGUGUUGUAUCACAAACAUUUUUAAAUCACUAUAUUAGUCAUAAUUUUUCACAUUAAUGAAAUUUCAAGAAACAGUUCCCUGUGGUAAAUAUAUGAAACUUAAUACAUUUAGUCAUUGCACUUAAUGCAUUUUAAUGAAUGUAAAUUUGUCUGUGUCACUUCAUUUCUUUCUUAAUGGUCAUUCAGUUUCCAGACACAUAUUAAUUAAAUAUCAUUAGUUUUAGAUAAAUAUUAUAUACUCUACCUAGUAACUGAAAAGAAUUUUAAUUUAAAUUUUGUGGAGAAAGCAUUUUUACUAGAAUUUCUGAAAUGAAAUUUUAUGUAUUCAUUUGGACUGAUUUUUUUCCUAGACAUAUCUUUUUUAUUAUGCAUUUUAUGUUUUUUAGUUUGUCAUUAAUUUGAUUAUUUGCUUUAUGAGAUCAUGUUAUCCUUUUAUACCGAUCUAACUACUUAAGUAUUUAUAGGCACAUUUUGCUUCUUUUCCAACGUCUCAAUGUAAGAAUCUUGUUUCAACACCAAUCGGAUCAGUUGCUACUUUUUCACUUUUAUGGAAUUGUUAUCAUAGAUAUUUCUAUGAAGCAUACGUUCCUGUCUUUGGUUUUCCCUUUUCAGUGUCUUACAUUAAAUUUUCCCCUCAGCUUCACUGCUUGGCUCUAGGUUAAGUUAAUGAUAAUCACCAAUUUUACUGUAUCUUCUAACAUAGUAGACCAAUGCUACUUUUUGUUGAUUACUCGUUGUUGCCUUAUCAGCAAGCCUUAAUCAACCACAGGAAUUGAAAUAUAGUGCUUGUUGUUGAGAUAAUAUUCUUUUGGCAUCUGACAAUAUUUGGCUAUAAAAUUGUGUUCAUUCAUUAAUGCUGAGAAGAAAUUUGGUAAGCUGCUCAUAUUUUCUCUGUUGAAUAAAACUAAACGUUUCAACUUUUGUUUUAAUCUGUAAAAUGCUUUCUUUGAAUGUAUUUUUACAUGGAACCCCAAUAUUUGAAAUACAUAAAAUUUAUAUCGUGUGGCUUAAACAGGGUUGGCUGUUCUUUUUCAACUGCCUUAGCUAACUCUGAAGGGAAUCAACAGAAAGGAAGAGAAAGAGACAGAGGGGGAGACAGAGAUGCAGAUAGAAUUGGAGAGGGUAAAGAGAAUGAAGAUGUGUGUGAUUCUUCUUUGAAUGACUCUAAUUUAUAUCAGGUUUGUCUGUUUGUAUAUGGAAUCACUAUUUAUCGUAUAUUUAUUAACACAGAAAUAGGUUAUUAAGUGAGAAGAACAAUAUAUUAUGAGGCUAUCUAUGCACACACACAAAAAUUCAGACACCAAUAAUAUUUUCAGUAUACAAUAUUGAGCAAGUUAUUUGCCCCAUCUCUUCCUUAGUCUGUCAUCUAUAGAACAGGAAGAAUAAUAAUAACAACUUCAUAAAACUUAUUAUAUGUAAAUAUAUUUAGAAUAAGGCUUGACAGCAUCUACAAAGGGUUCUGAAAAUAUUAGUCGUUAUUUUUCUGUCUGUAUGUUCUAUUCUUUAAUUUCUGAUUUUUCUACAUUAUUAUGUAUUACUUCGGUGAUAUGAAAACUUAUUUAAAAAGUGAAGAAUACUAGAAAGCAUGUAGAAUGUGUAAAAAUACUUUAUAAAAAAUAUAAGUGUUCCUGCAUUACGAAUAAUCCUCAAAUGCUGAAGUUAUGA